AGAGUUUGAUCCUGGCUCAGAUUGAACGCUGGCGGCAUGCCUUACACAUGCAAGUCGAACGGUAACAGGUCUUCGGACGCUGACGAGUGGCGAACGGGUGAGUAAUACAUCGGAACGUGCCCGAUCGUGGGGGAUAACGGAGCGAAAGCUUUGCUAAUACCGCAUACGAUCUACGGAUGAAAGCAGGGGACCGCAAGGCCUUGCGCGGACGGAGCGGCCGAUGGCAGAUUAGGUAGUUGGUGGGAUAAAAGCUUACCAAGCCGACGAUCUGUAGCUGGUCUGAGAGGAUGAUCAGCCACACUGGGACUGAGACACGGCCCAGACUCCUACGGGAGGCAGCAGUGGGGAAUUUUGGACAAUGGGCGCAAGCCUGAUCCAGCCAUGCCGCGUGCAGGAUGAAGGCCUUCGGGUUGUAAACUGCUUUUGUACGGAACGAAAAGCUUUCCUCUAAUAAAGGGGGGUCAUGACGGUACCGUAAGAAUAAGCACCGGCUAACUACGUGCCAGCAGCCGCGGUAAUACGUAGGGUGCAAGCGUUAAUCGGAAUUACUGGGCGUAAAGCGUGCGCAGGCGGUUUUGUAAGACAGAGGUGAAAUCCCCGGGCUCAACCUGGGAACUGCCUUUGUGACUGCAAGGCUGGAGUGCGGCAGAGGGGGAUGGAAUUCCGCGUGUAGCAGUGAAAUGCGUAGAUAUGCGGAGGAACACCGAUGGCGAAGGCAAUCCCCUGGGCCUGCACUGACGCUCAUGCACGAAAGCGUGGGGAGCAAAAAGGAUUAGAUACCCUGGUAGUCCACGCCCUA
Molecule: ribosomal RNA, 799 nt
Filed under: uncultured bacterium
Lineage: Bacteria
Description: bacterial SSU rRNA
Rfam family: Bacterial small subunit ribosomal RNA
Source: RNAcentral